This is a long non-coding RNA of Manduca sexta (tobacco hornworm), 1117 nucleotides long. RefSeq lists it as uncharacterized. The transcript has 2 exons. The record is from RefSeq and is a predicted model, not a curated record. NCBI's taxonomy places the organism in Eukaryota, Metazoa, Arthropoda, Insecta, Lepidoptera, Sphingidae.
AUUUGUAUAAUAUCAAAAUAAUAUGCUUUAUUUUGGCUACAAGACUACAACGCUAAAAGUUGCACUUGUUUAGAACAUAAAGUUAAGGCUUCUCACAAUUCAUUCAUUGUCAAGAACUAAAUCAACCAAUAGGAUAAUCAAUCAAUAGGUACGCACGAGCCACGAGCCACGGCCCACGAGCACAGAGCCGCCGCGAAUGAGCCAGCGCGGCGGCCAUAAUGAGUAGCGGCCUGCGAGACCGCGAGAGCCGUCACUUGUCACCACUCACCCGCCAUUCGCGUUACCUAACGAGUGACGAAUAUGACAUUUGCAGUACACAAUAUGGCGCACAGUACGACGCGCGGCGAGUUCGCGCCCCGCUCUAAGCGCUGAGCAUACUCUACAUACCGGCCUCACUUUCGCCGAGGGCAGUUCACAUGAGUUUAUUUACAUUAUUCGAUGGCCGGUUCGCUAUCUCGGUUAUUUUUAGAAGUCCACUCUCGGCGACGCGACGUGUGCUAUCGUGCUCGCGACACGCGACACACACAAGACACCCAUUGAGCUGUGCUGCAGCCACACUACGUGUAGUGUGUGAGCCGUGGCUCAUGGUAAUGGGUAUUGCUACAGCAAUGGUCUUCACACAAUCCUCCCGCCCUCCACAACUCGUUUAGUACGACGACAACGAAUGCGACAUUUAGAAGGAUACCCAGUACCGAUCACCAAAACUUGUAAACUUUCGAGGUUCUUGGGAAACCAUAUCAACUUUAAAUCAAAAUAUCGACCCUUGAAAAACUCAUUGACUAAAGCGACAUUAUUGCGACACUAAGUUUCAUACCUACAUAUUUAAAAACAGUACUUUUAUCUAUGUUUUUUUUAAUUCUUUCUAAAAUAAAUAAAGUCAAUUAGCCUUUCAGCCGUCAAUUUAAUAAUAUAGAACUGAGAAGUCCAAAAUCCAUCUUUAAAAUAUACUUCUAAUUAUAUAGGUACUUUUAUAUCAGUUGAAGAGUUUGUUUCUGUGUUUGUUUUAACGAGCUUAUCUCAGCAACUACUGGUUCGAAUUGAAUAAAUUCUUUUAGUUUUGGAUAGCCCAUUUAUCAAGGAAGGCUAUAAGUUACAUAACAUAACGUUAUGACGAAAA